UCUUUCUGCUCUAAACUGGGAAGCAGGAUGGCUCGCAAAAGGCAAAUGCCACCUGACUUUUCUGGGCUGCCAUCUGCUCCGUGCCCUGCAGUCGGGCAGGACCGAAGUUAAGCUCACCUCAGAAGCCUAGAAAGUGUCUCAAGCGCAUCACCCUUAAAGCCCCUGCACUCGAGGAUGAUCUGGGGGCUGUGGGUGCACAAGGUGGCCACCAAGGGCUCCUGUGCUGUGCUUUGGGAGCCCGAGAAGAGCCCCAGAGCAGCUGUUCCUGCACUGUGUGAGCCACUACAUCUGUCCUGCUGCAAACACAGGGAUUGACUGCAAGAGACAAGAUGCACAGCCUGAAAUGAUACUGUAAAACAUCUUUAUUAGCUCAUCGUAGGACUGGAAGGACAAAAGCUUCCAGGUAGAACUCUGUCCAAUGAAAAAGACUCACAGGAAAAA
Molecule: long non-coding RNA, 441 nt
Organism: Pyrgilauda ruficollis (rufous-necked snowfinch)
Lineage: Eukaryota; Metazoa; Chordata; Aves; Passeriformes; Passeridae
Exons: 3
Source: RefSeq, a predicted model, not a curated record